GGACAGAUGGCCGAGCGGUUUAAGGCACCGGUCUUGAAAACCGGCAAGAAUUAUAUUCUUCGUGAGUUCGAAUCUCACUCUGUCCGCCA
Molecule: transfer RNA, 89 nt
Filed under: Holosporaceae bacterium
Lineage: Bacteria; Pseudomonadati; Pseudomonadota; Alphaproteobacteria; Holosporales; Holosporaceae
Description: tRNA-Ser
Rfam family: tRNA
About the family: Transfer RNA (tRNA) molecules are approximately 80 nucleotides in length. Their secondary structure includes four short double-helical elements and three loops (D, anti-codon, and T loops). Further hydrogen bonds mediate the characteristic L-shaped molecular structure. tRNAs have two regions of fundamental functional importance: the anti-codon, which is responsible for specific mRNA codon recognition, and the 3' end, to which the tRNAs corresponding amino acid is attached (by aminoacyl-tRNA synthetases). tRNAs cope with the degeneracy of the genetic code in two manners: having more than one tRNA (with a specific anti-codon) for a particular amino acid; and 'wobble' base-pairing, i.e. permitting non-standard base-pairing at the 3rd anti-codon position.
Source: RNAcentral